Molecule: long non-coding RNA, 1250 nt
Organism: Girardinichthys multiradiatus
Lineage: Eukaryota; Metazoa; Chordata; Actinopteri; Cyprinodontiformes; Goodeidae
Exons: 3
Source: RefSeq, a predicted model, not a curated record
UCAUUCACUUUGAUUCCCUCUCUCUCUGUCCUCUGGUUACACUCGGCUGCUUCCACUCAUCAGUUCUCCUCAGUAUAUAUUCCUCUUUGGUUCUUUAGUCACUGCUGGUUCAUCGUCUCUAUGCUGAUAAAUCCUGCUGAUAAAUGUCUGUCCUGUGCUAUUCUGCCCUCAUUGUCUUCCCACCAUGUUCCUGCCUUCAUCACAACAGCUUCAGCCUAAAUCUACUAGGUACUGAUGGUGCCACAAUCAGACCUCCUCCAGUGGGAUCCGAUCAGCGACGCCUCCACUCCUUCUCCAGAGGGUAAGGCUGACGCCUCCACUCCGCCUCAGCCUGUGCUGCGCCUCAGAGCACCAGAGGACCCGAGCUUGAGAUGACCAGCCACCCACCCCACACCAGGGAACAGGGUUAGCAGCCCCAGGCCGAAGAGGCACAGAGCAAGAUGAGGGCACAAAAGCAACACCCCACUAAGGUGGGCAGCCCCCUGUUGGGCCCCCCAUGCUGACAUCAGUGACCCCGAGGCCAUCCCCACACCCCAGUCUCCAACGAGCUGGCAAAGGCUCCAUAGCGGAACCAUGGUAGCCUGCGGUGCCCCCCCCCCGAGCACAGGCCCCUCUCCAUGGUGUUGGUGUGUGUGUCUGUGGUAAUGUGAUGUGUUGUGAUGAAUGCCAAUAACUAUAUCUAAAGUGCAUAUGAAUUGAGGCUGUAGCUGGGACAUAAGAGACCCCACUCUUUGUUGACAGCUGUGUCUCCCCUAGCCCAACCCCAAAGCCCUAAGGCUCUCUAGUGGAUUAAAAUUGAAGUACAGGACAGGGCCAAAUAUAACAAAGUUUCUACAAUCACACUGAUCACAUGCAACAAAGUUAAGUAAUGAUUUGCUGUUCGAGGAUCCGGUAUUCAUUCAUAUAAAGGGUUUAAUAAGAAAAGCGUUGCUUGACUUUUCUUCUGAGGCCUCCAGAAGCCCUAAUCGAAGCAGAUGUCUGCAACAGCCUGGACCACAUUGCACAACUUCCUGUGUGCACGUCCAGGUAGCAAGAACUACCCAGCAGCACCACGGACGCUUAAGGAGCUGAAUAUGCCUUUGUCGUACGGUUCGGCCAGGCCAGCUCAAAGCCGACCCCCUACAGCUACUGAGAUUAGCUGCAACACUGGUCCCUUUCAGUCCACACGUGGAUGACCGGACCUCCCUCAUCUCGUCGCCUGGAAAGCUUGUCCUCAGCACCGUUCACGUAAGAGGUAGUGUUUGGGGAAA